RNAcentral lists this ribosomal RNA (439 nucleotides) under uncultured bacterium. RNAcentral describes it as "partial 16S ribosomal RNA". It matches the Rfam family "Bacterial small subunit ribosomal RNA", at positions 338 to 795 of the family's 1533-position model. The record is from RNAcentral.
CCUACGGGUGGCUGCAGUGGGGGAUAUUGCACAAUGGGGGGAACCCUGAUGCAGCGACGCCGCGUGGGUGAAGGAGCGUUUCGGCGCGUAAAGCCCUAUCGGCAGGGAAGAAGAUGACGGUACCUGACCAAGAAGCCCCGGCUAACUACGUGCCAGCAGCCGCGGUAAUACGUAGGGGGCAAGCGUUAUCCGGAUUUACUGGGUUUAAAGGGUGCGCAGGCGGCGAGUUAAGUCAGCGGUAAAAUUUCGGGGCUCAACCCCGACGAGCCGUUGAAACUGGCUUGCUAGAGUGGGCGAGAAGUAUGCGGAAUGCGUGGUGUAGCGGUGAAAUGCAUAGAUAUCACGCAGAACUCCGAUUGCGAAGGCAGCAUACCGGCGCCCAACUGACGCUCAGGCACGAAAGCGUGGGUAUCGAACAGGAUUAGAUACCCUAGUAGUC